RNAcentral lists this ribosomal RNA (504 nucleotides) under Branchiplicatus cupreus. Its description in RNAcentral is "partial large subunit ribosomal RNA". It matches the Rfam family "Bacterial large subunit ribosomal RNA", at positions 1810 to 2605 of the family's 2925-position model. Lineage: Eukaryota; Metazoa; Annelida; Polychaeta; Phyllodocida; Polynoidae. The record is from RNAcentral.
AAAACAUUGCUUUUAGAUUAAAUAUUAAAAGUCCAUCCUGCCCAGUGAAAGAAUUUUCAACGGCCGCGGUACCCUAACCGUGCAAAGGUAGCAUAAUCAUUUGCCUUUUAAUUGAAGGCUAGUAUGAACGGACAAACGAAAUUCUAGCUGUAUCACCCUUAUAAACUAAAAUUUAAAUUUCAGGUGAAGAUGCCUGAAUCCCCUUGAAAGACAAGAAGACCCUAUAGAGUUUUAGUUGAUCUCUUAACCCAUAACUAAUUCAACUUUGGUUGGGGCGACCUAGGAUUACUAAAAACAUCCUUUAUUAUUAAGAAUAAAUUAUUCUUUUUAAAGACCCUAUAUUUUAGAUUCUCAAAAUGAACUACCUUAGGGAUAACAGGCUUAUCUUCCUAAAGAGUCCACAUUGACAGGAAGGUCUGGCACCUCGAUGUUGGCUUAGAGUAACCUAAUAAUGCAGAAGUUAAUUAAGGUCAGUUUGUUCAACUGUUAAAUCUCUACGUGAUC